This 704-nucleotide ribosomal RNA is filed under the name Actinomortierella capitata. RNAcentral describes it as "eukaryotic LSU rRNA". The stretch from base 245 to 398 matches the Rfam family "5.8S ribosomal RNA". The record is from RNAcentral. Lineage: Eukaryota; Fungi; Mortierellomycota; Mortierellomycetes; Mortierellales; Mortierellaceae.
AAAAAAAAAAAAAUACAAGGUUUCCGUAGGUGAACCUGCGGAAGGAUCAUUCACAAUAAGAGUGUUUAUGGCACUCUUCAAAAAAAUCCAUACCCACCUUGUGUGCAAUGUAAAAAAGGAAGCAACGGGAAAGAGGUCCCUUGGUGACAAGGGCCUGUUUUCAGCGCUUUCUUUUUCUUUAUAUACACCUUUCUAUAAGUUCCUAUUGUCUGAAGCUGUUAGAGAAUGACUAAUUCUUAAACAUAACUUUCAACAACGGAUCUCUUGGCUCUCGCAUCGAUGAAGAACGCAGCGAAAUGCGAUACGUAAUGUGAAUUGCAGAAUUCAGUGAAUCAUCGAAUCUUUGAACGCAUAUUGCGCUCUUUGGUAUUCCGAAGAGCAUGCUUGUUUGAGUAUCAGUAAACACCUCAACCAGAAUCCUUUCUGGCUGGAUUUGAGCAAACCCAACAAACCUCUCUCGAGGCAGGCGGGUUGCUUGAAAUGCAGGUGCAGCUGUAACAAGAACAGACUGAGCUAAAAGCAUAUCUAAUUUAGUCCGUCUCGGCGGAUUAUUAUCAUUUGCUGCAGCUACUCUAAGGUCAUCUUGUCGAGCUGACUGAUGCAGGAUUUGUCAGACAACUCCUCUCUAUCUCUUCGGAGCGUAGGAAGGAGGUACUCUUUCAAAACUCGAUCUCAAAUCAAGUAAGACUACCCGCUGAACUUAA